Drosophila navojoa is the source of this 434-nucleotide long non-coding RNA. Lineage: Eukaryota; Metazoa; Arthropoda; Insecta; Diptera; Drosophilidae. The record is from RefSeq and is a predicted model, not a curated record.
UUAUUUUUAUAAAUAUUUGAUUUUCAGGAUGGAUGUAUCAUUGUGUGGAAUGCCUAGGCGAAAAAAAAGAACGUGAAUCGAAAGCAUUACGGUUUUUACAGAAAUCAAUUGAAGCAGAGCCAAAGUGCGGACAAUCAUUAUAUUUAUUGGGGAGAUGUUACGCUGGAGUGAAUAAGGUUCAUGAUGCGUUUUUAGCUUAUAGGAAUUCUGUUGAGAAAAGUGAAGGGAAUGCAGAUACUUGGUGCUCGAUUGGUGUCUUAUAUCAGCAGCAAAAUCAACCCACGGAUGCGCUACAAGCAUACAUAUGCGCAGUACAGUUAGAUAAGGAUCAUAAAUCGGCGUGGACAAAUUUGGGAAUACUAUAUGAGAGUUGCGGGCAAUUACGAGAUGCGUACGCAUGCUAUUCAAAUGCGGUGAAACAAAUGUCAACCCAG